GUAGUGUGUGGCACAGUGGUGUGAUGGUUAGUGCUAUUGCUUCAGAGUCCAAAGGCCCUAGGUUCAAAUCCUAGUCAUGUAUG
Molecule: non-coding RNA, 83 nt
Organism: Xyrichtys novacula (pearly razorfish)
Lineage: Eukaryota; Metazoa; Chordata; Actinopteri; Labriformes; Labridae
Source: the annotation of a GenBank genome assembly